AGGACGAUUAACCCCUUGCUCUCCAGGACCGAAUGCAUCCUAACCUCCUCUUUUGUUUGGCCCUUCCUGCAAGCCAGGGAUGGAUUCGCAGCCUCCGCUUGUUGCCUCUGGUAGGCUGCGGUCCUGCGCAGGUUUUUAUUUGGGGGGGGCUCUGCCGAGCUUAUUCCACUGGCGGCCCGAAAACACAACUUCAGCAGGGAGCUUCUGUCCUUACCCCUUGCCUGUUUCAGAGGCUCACCCGUCCGGGCUUUCAGGGUGAUGCUUUUCGAUCUUUAAUCGGAGAGGAGCCUUAUUUUUGUUUUAGGGAAGGGGGGGGAUGCAGGUCAAACUGCAAGAUGGCACACCCCCAGAAGCCCAUCUGGAGCCACUAAAGAGUGCCUGGGAGCGUGCAUGCCAAGGAGCACCAGGAUGGCUGGGUGCUGCUCAACUCCGGAUGGCAACCUUCUGCCCAGUUGAAGUAGCCAAGAUGUAGCAAGAAGCAAACGCGCUAUUUAGCACAGCCACCUGAUUCUCCAACGCCUUCCUGGAUAAGUGGCAGAAUCGUGGCAGAAGCCACUAGUGGCGAAAUCAUGGGCAAUCUUUCGCUUGCCUUCCUUUGAACCUUCAGUGCAAGACUUCUUUCUCUGUAGGCAGCUCCAGCAAGCCUCCCCCCCCCCGCACGCCUCUUCCUGAUCAAAUGCUCAUUUUGUCUUAUUUUUCUGAAAAAGGACUUUUCCGCAAACUUCCAGCCACCUACUUUCACUUUCUUGCCGAAAAUCCCAGAAGCUGAGGUGUUACUUCACCCCGCUUCAGGAAAGAAAGAAAAAAAAAAGAGAGAAGCAAGAAAUGAAACUGACUAAAAACAGGCAGAACAGCAAACUUUCUGGUGUGAAGGAAAGAGAAAACAAAAUACUACUUUUUCCUCCCCCUCCAAAAUGUGGAGCGGGGGGGGGGUGUCUCUUGAGCUGCUCCCCGAGCGCCAGCCUUCCCCAGCCGUGCUUCUGGGGUUUCUUAUCCUCAGCUUGAAAAUCAUUAACAGGAGAGAGAGGCGAGAGGACCCUGCAACACGCGCCACCUAUCUUUGCGGGGAGGGAUAAUUGAAGAGCACCGAACGUGAGCAUCAUGUGCAAACGUGAUCGCCAAGUUUCUCUCUGGGAAAGGAAGGAUCUGGGAUAGAUUAUACCUUGAAGUCUCCGCAAACGCUUUAGUGGGAGAAAUGAAAUUCCACCUCCCCUCCCCUCCCCUCCCUCUGUGCUUCUCUCCCUCCCCCCUCCUCCCCUCCCUCCCCCCUCCCUCCCCAACCAUCAAGCCUUUGGCAUCAUUAUCCUCUUCACUAAAUCCUACUAGAUGCAAGGCGGAAAACGGUGCACACCAUUCACAGAACAGGCGAACUCAAAGGAACUGGAAGUUACAAGCCGAAGCCGGCCACCCCGUGCUUGCUCGGCCGUCCGCAGCUGCCGGGCCUUGCGGUGCGCUCCAGAGUGGGGGCCCUGCCCUACACGCGGGGAGACCCGCACUGGCAGCACCGGAGCCCAUUGCUCCCCCCUUUCCUCGGUUGCAAAGAGUAGGAAACUACAGAAGCAAACUUGGGGCUAGGAGACGGCUGAGAUAACCCAGAAGAUCGCAGGCUCAGAGCGUUUGGGAGCCAGGACUGGGAUGUCAAGGCCCUGAUCCUAAGCACGCUCCCGGGGAGGCAGAGACCUGUCAAGGGAGUCUGUCUCAAACUGGGCUGCUGUGAGUUCUCUUCUGGGGCAGAUGGGGUGGACCGCUUGAGAUUUUCUUGGCCUCCGAGCCAAACGGUUAGUGGAGUCAAAUCGUUUCAGUCCUCUUUACACUUGGAAGGAGGUAGGCAGAUGGACAACCACAGACAGAGAAUGAAGCAUCGAUUAUGUAUGAAAUAGACAUGCAUAUUUUAUACCUGUGCGUUUUUAGACAUGAGCAGCAAGACUGGUGCAUCCCGGUGACUCCUAAUUAAGUGUGCCCAGGACUGCAGGCAGAGUUGCUUACAGAUUUAUUUAUAGGUAGACAAAUAGAAGGUGGACAUCUAAGACAUGUUAACCACAAGAUAUAAAUAUUUAGUAGGGGGAGAGGUAGAAAGAGAAAGCACCUUGAUGGACGGGAAGAAAAGAGAGGGGCUUUGCAUUUCAUGAGGGUAACAAGUCUUUUUGGAGACUUUGGGGAAGAUUAAAAUGAAAAUUAAACACUUAGACUCCACCUUUGCACUAUGGGGAUUGGUUAUGCAAAUAGGGAAGGGAUUUCCUGGCGAAUCCAGCAUUCUACUGUAUGGUUAAUUAAAUCAUCACUCAAAAAGGUUUCCAGUGUGACGCGCCUGUCCUAAUCCAAUCAGGAGACGUAGGUCCUAAAUAAGAAAGAUAUUAACCCCCCCCCCACGCACACACAUCUGGAAGUCAGCAGUUUAGCAAGUAGUGCACAUUAUUAACCAAUUCCGAGUCCACAUUCCCAGGAGAACCUUAAAAAAAAGUCCAACUUAAAGAGUGUUCUUAAGCAAUGCUCUUCUGUUUGCUUAAUCAAAAAGCUGCUUUGCAGGCGCAACAUUGAGGGGUGGGAGACCACAGAUUACAGACGAAGUUCUUAAAAACACAAAAACACUUCGAUAGCUGGGCAGAGAGGGGGAGGGAGACCAUUUGUAAAGGGUACUGUUGUAGCUCUUCACCCAAAGCAGCCUCUCACGAGAUAUAUCAGGUUGGGUUCCCCCCCCCCCCCAAAAAAAAAGUUCAGUUCGUUGAGGCUGGCGUGAUCCAGACUGAAGGUAAACAGGAGCUGCCCCCAGGGAUGGUAUUCCUGGGCUCAGCCAGCAUCUUCUUCGCUUUGACACAGUUAAAUCUAUUAGAGCUGCACCCCCCCCCCCUUUCCCACUGAAGGAAACUGAAACAAAUGCUACGCUGAUCCGACACUCUACUUUUACUUACAUUAAGCUAAGAUAAACUGCUUGUGAACCGUGCACUGAAUGUGCGCCUUGAGCAAGGCAUUGGGAUGCUCGCUCAAGUCACUAGCAAUCGCCCUCAAAAGAGAGCUCCUGAUCUGAGAUGGGUGGGCCAGGGGGAGGUUGUUUGUGGGGAGGGGGGCCCACCACCUUGCUGGCAACCCAACAUAGCAAGCCCAAUCAAAACAUGCAGUCACCCUAACCCAAGCUCAGGGGGAUUAAUUGAUCAAGCUGCAAACUGGCAGUCCAAAGAAACUGACACUAGGAAUGUAGGAAGGUGUGUGUGUGUGUGUGUGUGCACAUUUUGUUUUAUGUAGAAAAAACAUUGAUUUGUUUCUUUGAACUGUAUAAUCCAUAAAGGACGAGGUAGUGCUGCUCUCCAUA
Long non-coding RNA from Sphaerodactylus townsendi, 3307 nucleotides. RefSeq lists it as uncharacterized. Lineage: Eukaryota; Metazoa; Chordata; Lepidosauria; Squamata; Sphaerodactylidae. The transcript is spliced from 2 exons. The record is from RefSeq and is a predicted model, not a curated record.